AGUGAACGCUGGCGGUAGGCCUAACACAUGCAAGUCGAACGGCAGCACAGGAGAGCUUGCUCUCUGGGUGGCGAGUGGCGGACGGGUGAGGAAUACAUCGGAAUCUGCCCAGUCGUGGGGGAUAACGUAGGGAAACUUACGCUAAUACCGCAUACGACCUUCGGGUGAAAGAGGGGGAUCGCAAGACCUCUCGCGAUUGGAUGAGCCGAUGUCGGAUUAGCUAGUUGGCGGGGUACUGGCCCACCAAGGCGACGAUCCGUAGCUGGUCUGAGAGGAUGAUCAGCCACACUGGAACGGAGACACGGGCCAGCCCCCGACGGGAGGCAGCGGGGGAGAAUAGUGGAACGUGGGGGGAAGCCUGAUCCCGCCAUACGGCGGGGGUGAAAAAGGCCUGCGGGUUGGAAAGCCCUUUUUUUGGGAAAAAAAUCUUUCGAGCUAAAACCCGUGGGGGAGGGCGGGACCCAAAGAAAAAGCCGCGGCGAACUGCGG
RNAcentral lists this ribosomal RNA (489 nucleotides) under uncultured bacterium. RNAcentral's name for it is "partial 16S ribosomal RNA". It matches the Rfam family "Bacterial small subunit ribosomal RNA", at positions 30 to 506 of the family's 1533-position model. The record is from RNAcentral.